AGCGAAUAGAUACCCCGGUAGUCCUGGCCAUAAACGAUGAACACUAGGUGUAGGAGGCUUCGACCCCUUCUGCGCCGCCGCUAAACGCAUUAAGUGUUCCGCCUGGGGAGUACGGCCGCAAGGUUAAAACUCAAAGGAAUUGACGGGGGCCCGCACAAGCAGUGGAGCAUGUGGUUUAAAUUCGAUGCUACGCGAAAAACCUUACCAGGGUUUGACAUCCCAGUGUAAUCCCCUAGAAAUAGGGGACCCCUUCGGGCACUGGUGACAGGUGGUGCAUGGUUGUCGUCAGCUCGUGCCGUGAGGUGUUGGAUUAAGUUCCGCAACGAGCGCAACCCUCGUGGUUAGUUGCCAUCAUUAAGUUGGGCACUCUAGCCAGACUGCCGGCGUCAAGCCGGAGGAAGGUGGGGAUGACGUCAAAUCAUCAUGCCCCUUACAUCCUGGGCUACACACGUGCUACAAUGGGCAGUACAAACGGGUUGCCACACCGCGAGGUGGAGCGAAUCCUUCAAAAGCUGCUCUCAGUCCGGAUUGCAGGCUGCAAC
This 542-nucleotide ribosomal RNA is filed under the name uncultured bacterium. RNAcentral's name for it is "bacterial SSU rRNA". It matches the Rfam family "Bacterial small subunit ribosomal RNA", at positions 773 to 1311 of the family's 1533-position model. The record is from RNAcentral.